UACAGUGGCCCAGUGGUUAGAGCGUCCGUCUCGAAUGCCGGAGGUUGCGGGUUCUAAUCUCGGCCCAGUCAUAAAAA
Non-coding RNA from Potamilus streckersoni, 77 nucleotides. Lineage: Eukaryota; Metazoa; Mollusca; Bivalvia; Unionida; Unionidae. The record is from the annotation of a GenBank genome assembly.